GAAUCUGCCCUCAGGUUCGGAAUAACAGCGAGAAAUUGCUGCUAAUACCGGAUGAUAUCGCGAGAUCAAAGAUUUAUCGCCUGAGGAUGAGCCCGCGUAGGAUUAGCUAGUUGGUGUGGUAAAGGCGCACCAAGGCGACGAUCCUUAGCUGGUCUGAGAGGAUGAUCAGCCACACUGGGACUGAGACACGGCCCAGACUCCUACGGGAGGCAGCAGUGGGGAAUAUUGGACAAUGGGCGGAAGCCUGAUCCAGCAAUGCCGCGUGAGUGAUGAAGGCCUUAGGGUUGUAAAGCUCUUUUACCCGGGAUGAUAAUGACAGUACCGGGAGAAUAAGCUCCGGCUAACUCCGUGCCAGCAGCCGCGGUAAUACGGAGGGAGCUAGCGUUAUUCGGAAUUACUGGGCGUAAAGCGCACGUAGGCG
Molecule: ribosomal RNA, 421 nt
Filed under: Sphingomonas sp. Z4_80_6
Lineage: Bacteria; Pseudomonadati; Pseudomonadota; Alphaproteobacteria; Sphingomonadales; Sphingomonadaceae
Description: bacterial SSU rRNA
Rfam family: Bacterial small subunit ribosomal RNA
Source: RNAcentral